RNAcentral lists this RNase P RNA (191 nucleotides) under Clostridiales bacterium. RNAcentral describes it as "partial RNase P RNA component class A". It matches the Rfam family "Bacterial RNase P class A", at positions 1 to 185 of the family's 367-position model. From Rfam's summary of the family: Ribonuclease P (RNase P) is a ubiquitous endoribonuclease, found in archaea, bacteria and eukarya as well as chloroplasts and mitochondria. Its best characterised activity is the generation of mature 5'-ends of tRNAs by cleaving the 5'-leader elements of precursor-tRNAs. Lineage: Bacteria; Bacillati; Bacillota; Clostridia; Eubacteriales. The record is from RNAcentral.
UGAGACUGUCGGGCGGCCGCAGGCAGGGGCAGAAAUGCUUUCGUGUCUGAGGAAAGUCCGAGCUCCAUAGGGCAGGAUGCCGGGUAACGCCCGGUGGAGGCGACUCCAAGGAAAGUGCAACAGAAAUAUACCGCCCCUUCCCUUCGGGAGGGGUAAGGGUGGAAAGGCGAGGUAAGAGCUCACCAGCGGCA